RNAcentral lists this ribosomal RNA (503 nucleotides) under uncultured bacterium. Its description in RNAcentral is "partial 16S ribosomal RNA". It matches the Rfam family "Bacterial small subunit ribosomal RNA", at positions 30 to 523 of the family's 1533-position model. The record is from RNAcentral.
AUUGAACGCUGGUGGCAGGCUUAACACAUGCAAGUCGAGCGGGGUGAUGGUGCUUGCACUAUCACUUAGCGGCGGACGGGUGAGUAAUGCUUAGGAAUCUGCCUAUUAGUGGGGGACAACAUCUCGAAAGGGAUGCUAAUACCGCAUACGUCCUACGGGAGAAAGCAGGGGAUCACUUGUGACCUUGCGCUAAUAGAUGAGCCUAAGUCGGAUUAGCUAGUUGGUGGGGUAAAGGCCUACCAAGGCGACGAUCUGUAGCGGGUCUGAGAGGAUGAUCCGCCACACUGGGACUGAGACACGGCCCAGACUCCUACGGGAGGCAGCAGUGGGGAAUAUUGGACAAUGGGGGGAACCCUGAUCCAGCCAUGCCGCGUGUGUGAAGAAGGCCUUAUGGUUGUAAAGCACUUUAAGCGAGGAGGAGGCUCUUUUGGUUAAUACCCAAGAUGAGUGGACGUUACUCGCAGAAUCAGCACCGGCUAACUCUGUGCCAGCCGCCGCAGUAA